CACUCCUGCGGGAGGCAGCAGUGGGGAAUUUUGGACAAUGGGCGAAAGCCUGAUCCAGCAAUGCCGCGUGAGUGAAGAAGGCCUUCGGGUUGUAAAGCUCUUUUGUCAGGGAAGAAACGGUGAGAGCUAAUAUCUCUUGCUAAUGACGGUACCUGAAGAAUAAGCACCGGCUAACUACGUGCCAGCAGCCGCGGUAAUAUGUAGGGUGCAAGCGUUAAUCGGAAUUACUGGGCGUAAAGCGUGCGCAGGCGGUUUUGUAAGUCUGAUGUGAAAUCCCCGGGCUCAACCUGGGAAUUGCAUUGGAGACUGCAAGGCUAGAAUCUGGCAGAGGGGGGUAGAAUUCCACGUGUAGCAGUGAAAUGCGUAGAUAUGUGGAGGAACACCGAUGGCGAAGGCAGCCCCCUGGGUCAAGAUUGACGCUCAUGCACGAAAGCGUGGGGAGCAAACAGGAUUAGAAACCCCUGUAGUCCCAUGA
This 475-nucleotide ribosomal RNA is filed under the name uncultured organism. RNAcentral describes it as "partial 16S ribosomal RNA". It matches the Rfam family "Bacterial small subunit ribosomal RNA", at positions 334 to 800 of the family's 1533-position model. The record is from RNAcentral.